This 179-nucleotide non-coding RNA is filed under the name Eubacterium sp. RNAcentral's name for it is "6S RNA". It matches the Rfam family "6S / SsrS RNA". Rfam says of the family: E. coli 6S RNA was the first non coding RNA to be sequenced, but its function was unknown until recently. It consists of 184 nucleotides that fold into an extended hairpin structure with a large single-stranded internal bulge. RNAcentral also lists the same sequence under 1 other name. The record is from RNAcentral. Lineage: Bacteria; Bacillati; Bacillota; Clostridia; Eubacteriales; Eubacteriaceae.
UAAAGUCUGCGGUGUGCGUGGUAUGGGAAAUUCGUAAUCCACAAUGUAUAAAAGGGAGCGGGCUGUUCGCGGAAAUAGUCAAGGUCUGUUUUACGGAAAGUACGACGUUUCGCUUCAACGCACCCACCUGCGAGACGCGGGUUAAUACUUUUUCAUAUCACGGCACAGGCGGAUUUUUU